Molecule: long non-coding RNA, 1491 nt
Filed under: Gouania willdenowi (blunt-snouted clingfish)
Lineage: Eukaryota; Metazoa; Chordata; Actinopteri; Blenniiformes; Gobiesocidae
Description: lncRNA (ENSGWIG00000000742.1)
Source: RNAcentral
AAUCAAACCCAGUGUGUGUGUGUGUGUGUAGCUGUGAUGGAGACCAAACUGAGUCUGUUCUUCUUCUGUGUCGUGAUAAUCUCAUCUACUGCUGAACCAGUGGAGAACAUCAGAGUUCUUGUAGGAGGAAACAUCACUCUGAGAGAACCUGUGAAUGAGGAAGGUAUCUUAACUCAUAAAGGAGAGCUCAUCGCUCAGGUGUUUAAUGGAAAAAUGAAGAUACGAAAAGAACGUUUCAACAAAAAACUGAUGUGGGACAACAGGACACGAUUCUUUACCAUCACAAACAUCCAGAAAAACGAUUCAGGAACUUAUGACAUUGAUAAUGAAAAAUCAGAGAUCAGGAUAUUCAUCCUCUCAGUCUAUGAGCCUCUUCCUCCUCCUUCAGUGAGGAGGUCCAAUGAGGACCCUACUCUCUGCUCUCUGCUGUGCUACGUGGAUGGAGCUCCACCCCUAACCAGCGUUGUGUGGAUGAAAGGCCAGGAGGUGAUGAACCAAAGCAGCAGCUACAGCUCUGUGCUGCUCACCAUCCCAGAGCAGGACCUCACCUCCUCUUUGACCUGUGCAGCUCAAAGUCCAGCAGAGAACAAGACUGUGGAGGUGGAGGUGACCACGUGGUGUGGAGACAACAACAAUAACAACAGCUGCAGACAUGACUGUACCACCAUGUCUGUCAUCAUCAUCAUCAUCAAAGGUGUCCUCAUCCUGUUUGGACAGACUUUGAUCUUCACUGUGUGUUUGUUGGAAAGGAAGCGUGUGUGUAAAUAAUAAUUACAUUCAUUGUCAUUUUAUAAACCAAAAACAUUUAGAAGUUUAAAUGAAUGUAAUAAUAAUCUACCUAGAGUGUGUGUGGAGUCUGUUCGACCUGAAACUUUGUCAAAGGCUUCCAAAGACCACAAGUGUGCACAUCCGUUAUUUUGGAAUAAUUUGGUGUUGCAAAAUGUUCAUUUUAAUUUUAAGAUACUGUAACAGCUCCCUCUCUGUAAUGAGCGUGGUACUUCCUGUUCCUGGUCACGGGACCAUGACGUCACUGUGUCGCUGUUUGUUUGGGUUUAAAAAAGAAGGUCAACAUUAAAAACUAUUUUGUACUGCUAAAAGUUAUUUAAGUUCAUAUUUCAUGGUUAUUUAAAAUUAUCCCCGUGAUCCCAAACUUCCUUUAAGUCGUGGGUCACGGACUUCACUUCCUCCUCCGUCUCCAUCGCUGUGCCAUGCUAUCGUUAGCGUCUCAAACACAGAGCUCUCUGAAUAGAUCAAUUGGUGUAUUGACUGCUUCAUAUGAUAUUCAUUUAAUACAAUAUACUUUUGACCUAAAUUUGAGUGUUGGCCUUUGUUUUGCUGGAACACAUGUUUUCUCAGUUAAACCUACCUAUAGAGUGUUAUGUAUGUCAUAAAAAGUGUCUGACUCCGGCUCCAGUUCUUUGACAAAUAGCAGUUUUACCACCUUUUAGACAACAAACAAUAAACAUUUGUUGCUUCUUCUCUUUGUGUCCA